CAACGCCUUUAUACCAUAGAAUAAGAGAUGUAGAACGCGGAAGUUACGUUCCUGAUAGUUUUCCUCUCGUUCCCUGUCAACAAUUGACGAUAAUUAAUCUUAGCUACUCUACAACUUUCAAAGGUGCCAGGAGAUAAUUAGCACAGGUGGUCCCUCUGCCUUCUGCAAACACGUGCAGUAACAUGGAGAUAUUGCUGUGUGGGAACCCUAAGCCUAAAAAGAUCCACCUACCACAUGGGCCUACUAUGGCUGAACCCAAGUCCAUGGAGUCCCCGGGUUCUGGCUGUGGUGUUCCAUCACAGAGAAGCUCACAGCAGGGUCCAGAGAUGGUCUCAGUGAAGCUGGAGGACUGCAGUCAACCACUGGAAGUCAAUGAGAUUGUGAUCGGGGAAGAGAGAGAACUUAAAGUAGAACUUAAAGAAGGAGAAGAAAGAGAGAGGAGUGAAAGAGGAAGCUGAGAUACAAGUCAAAGAAGAAGAGGAGAACAGAGAAGUGUCUGCUCCAGAUCUAGACGAAGAGGAGCAAGAAGUAGAUAGUAUCACUGACCCAGAGAUGAACGUACUUUGGUGCAAAAAGUGCAAAUCAAUCCCUGAACAACAGCAAAGGACUACUGCAAUUACAAGCAGGACUACUCCAUCCAGAUGCAGGAGAGAUCUCCAACCCAGGUUCAGACAGUGAGCCCAGUUCCACAGCAUCAGGAAACAAUAAACACAGACAGAGGAACUCAAGACAGAAACAUCACCACUGCAUGGACUGCUUCACUAGUUUCUAUGAGCCAAAGGAGUUGAAGACACACUUGUAGGCCCCAACCCUGCUCAGACUGCAGAGACAGUUUUAUUUGUCCAAUUGACCUUAAAUCACCCCAACAGACUCUCAAAAGAAAGAAAACUUACCCCUGUGAUCAAUGGGGGAAUAGCAAACUAAAGAUGUACCAAGUAACUCAAAGGGAUACCAGAACACAGGAAAGAAGCCUUUUCACUGCUCACAGUGUGGGAAGGGUUUCUGUUGGUCAUAAAAUAUGAAUACACACUGGUUAAAGUAUCACAGGCCUGACACUGGACUGUUGCUUUAGAAGAAAGUCGACUUCAAACCACAGAAGUAAAACAUGCAAACACAUGUUAUUAUGUAAAUAGCAUUUACCAACCGCAACUGUUAUGUGAAAAUAGAGCAGGGGUUCUUGCGUUAACAUGAACACCACUUGUCACCAGUACUCAGUAUUUACUUACCCUGUAUUAUCACUUCAACUCUGGGUAACAUGUAAUAAUUUCUUUAGUAUCCGGUAAAAACUCUGGAUGUCUAACAAAUGAUGGCACAUGGUAAUUCAUAUGUUAGUACCACUGCUGCAAACAAAACAUCCACACACCAAUGCUAACGAUGCUAGUUAACUUUGCCAGCUUGCUCUAUGUAUGACUGGCCUGUCCUGCCCCCUUUUUUUUAAUAGAGUUUAACUAUUUAAUUAUGUAGCGUUUUGGUAGUGGAAGAAGUAUCAAUACUAUGUAAUUUGCAGCUGCCUUAUAUAUUUUUGAUUUAUUGGAAAGCCGUUGAGUUGCUGGCUCCAUACCUACAGUAUCUAACUGACGGCAGCACAAAUAUAACGCCACUUCCGUUUUAGAAACGCGGGCGGAAGUUUACGUUCCUGCUUCUUUUCGUCGCGUUUCCUUACUCAACCAAGCAACUGACGACAAGGGCUAUUUUUAAAGGUGAGUUUAUGAUCUGUUGAACUAUUUAUGAGCGUGAAUAAAGUCUGGCUUCCAUUAUCAA
Molecule: long non-coding RNA, 1761 nt
Organism: Oncorhynchus tshawytscha (Chinook salmon)
Lineage: Eukaryota; Metazoa; Chordata; Actinopteri; Salmoniformes; Salmonidae
Exons: 5
Source: RefSeq, a predicted model, not a curated record